This 253-nucleotide ribosomal RNA is filed under the name uncultured bacterium. Its description in RNAcentral is "partial 16S ribosomal RNA". It matches the Rfam family "Bacterial small subunit ribosomal RNA", at positions 524 to 776 of the family's 1533-position model. The record is from RNAcentral.
GACAGAGGGUGCGAACGUUGUUCGGAAUUACUGGGCGUAAAGCGAGUGUAGGCGGUUUGGUUAGUCGGAUGUGAAAGCCCCGGGCUCAACCCGGGAAGUGCAUUCGAUACUGCCAAGCUAGAGUAUCGGAGAGGUUGGUGGAAUUCUCGGUGUAGAGGUGAAAUUCGUAGAUAUCGAGAGGAACACCGGCGGCGAAGGCGGCCAACUGGACGAAUACUGACGCUGAGACUCGAAAGCGUGGGGAGCAAACAGG